GAUGAAGAACGUAGCGAAAUGCGAUAAAUAAUGUGAAUUGCAGAAUUCAGUGAAUCAUCGAAUCUUUGAACGCACAUUGCGCCCGCCAGUAUUCUGGCGGGCAUGCCUGUCUGAGCGUCAUUUCAACCCUCAUGCCCCUAGGGCGUGGUGUUGGGGAUCGGCCAAAGCCCGCGAGGGACGGCCGGCCCCUAAAUCUAGUGGCGGACCCGUCGUGGCCUCCUCUGCGAAGUAGUGAUAUUCCGCAUCGGAGAGCGACGAGCCCCUGCCGUUAAACCCCCAACUUUCCAAGGUUGACCUCAGAUCAGGUAGGAAUACCCGCUGAACUUAAGCAUAUCAAUAAGCGGAGGA
RNAcentral lists this unclassified non-coding RNA (348 nucleotides) under soil metagenome. RNAcentral's name for it is "partial contains 5.8S ribosomal RNA, internal transcribed spacer 2, and large subunit ribosomal RNA". The stretch from base 1 to 120 matches the Rfam family "5.8S ribosomal RNA", at positions 35 to 154 of the family's 154-position model. The record is from RNAcentral.